UUCGAAUCCUAUAGAGAGUACUAAUUAAUACAAACUAGUCAUGGGAAUAAUAAGACUAAACACUUUAUAUAC
This 72-nucleotide transfer RNA is filed under the name Cellulophaga phage Calle_1. RNAcentral's name for it is "tRNA-Glu". The record is from RNAcentral. Lineage: Duplodnaviria; Heunggongvirae; Uroviricota; Caudoviricetes; Pervagoviridae.